GCAGAAUCUCGUGACAGGCUGCAAUAAGACGGGUGUGAGAUGGUGACAUCAGAGAGUGACGGUAUGAUAGAUGUACUCUGAGUAUCCUGCCACCCCAUCUACCACCUGCCUGCCUGUCCAGUGAAUCUCUCUACACCACAAGGUCAUUCAGUACGGAGGAGUCCUAAUGAGGACCUGAGCCCUAGGACCAUGUCUCAGGACUACCUGGCAUGAUGACUCCUUGCUGUCCCCAGUCCACCUGGCCAUGCUGCUGCUCCAGUUUCAACUGUUCUGCCUGCGGCUAUUGAAUCCUGACCUGUUCACCGGACGUGCUACCUGUCCCAG
Oncorhynchus tshawytscha (Chinook salmon) is the source of this 324-nucleotide long non-coding RNA. NCBI's taxonomy places the organism in Eukaryota, Metazoa, Chordata, Actinopteri, Salmoniformes, Salmonidae. The record is from Ensembl.